GUGGGUGAUCUGCCCUGUACUUCGGGAUAAGCCUGGGAAACUGGGUCUAAUACCGGAUAUGACCUUACAUCGCAUGGUGUUUGGUGGAAAGAUUUAUCGGUACAGGAUGGGCCCGCGGCCUAUCAGCUUGUUGGUGGGGWAAUGGCCUACCAAGGCGACGACGGGUAGCCGGCCUGAGAGGGCGACCGGCCACACUGGGACUGAGACACGGCCCAGACUCCUACGGGAGGCAGCAGUGGGRAAUAUUGCACAAUGGGCGAAAGCCUGAUGCAGCGACGCCGCGUGAGGGAUGACGGCCUUCGGGUUGUAAACCUCUUUCGACAGGGACGAAGCGCAAGUGACGGUACCUGUAGAAGAAGCACCGGCCAACUACGUGCCAGCAGCCGCGGUAAUACGUAGGGUGCGAGCGUUGUCCGGAAUUACUGGGCGUAAAGAGCUUGUAGGCGGUUUGUCGCGUCGUCCGWGAAAACUUGGGGCUCAACCCCAAGCUUGCGGGCGAUACGGGCAGACUUGAGUACUGCAGGGGAGACUGGAAUUCCUGGUGUAGCGGUGAAAUGCGCAGAUAUCAGGAGGAACACCGGUGGCGAAGGCGGGUCUCUGGGCAGUAACUGACGCUGAGAAGCGAAAGCGUGGGUAGCGAACAGGAUUAGAUACCCUGGUAGUCCACGCCGUAAACGGUGGGCGCUAGGUGUGGGUUUCCUUCCACGGGAUCCGUGCCGUAGCUAACGCAUU
This 732-nucleotide ribosomal RNA is filed under the name Nocardia farcinica. RNAcentral describes it as "bacterial SSU rRNA". It matches the Rfam family "Bacterial small subunit ribosomal RNA", at positions 117 to 861 of the family's 1533-position model. The record is from RNAcentral. Lineage: Bacteria; Bacillati; Actinomycetota; Actinomycetes; Mycobacteriales; Nocardiaceae.